This 376-nucleotide ribosomal RNA is filed under the name uncultured bacterium. RNAcentral describes it as "bacterial SSU rRNA". It matches the Rfam family "Bacterial small subunit ribosomal RNA", at positions 524 to 898 of the family's 1533-position model. The record is from RNAcentral.
GACGUAGGAUGCAAGCGUUGUCCGGAAUUAUUGGGCGUAAAGAGUUCGUAGGCGGCAUAUCAAGUCUGGUGUUAAAGCCCGGGGCUCAACCCCGGAUCGGCACUGGAUACUGGUAAGCUUGAGUGCAGUAGAGGCAAGGGGAAUUCCCAGUGUAGCGGUGAAAUGCGUAGAUAUUGGGAGGAACACCAGUGGCGUAAGCGCCUUGCUGGGCUGUUACUGACGCUGAGGAACGAAAGCCAGGGGAGCAAAUGGGAUUAGAUACCCCAGUAGUCCUGGCCGUAAACGAUGGAUACUAGGUGUUGCGGGUAUCGACCCCUGCAGUGCCGCAGCUAACGCAAUAAGUAUCCCGCCUGGGGAGUACGCACGCAAGUGUGAA